RNAcentral lists this ribosomal RNA (654 nucleotides) under Lactifluus velutissimus. Its description in RNAcentral is "eukaryotic LSU rRNA". It matches the Rfam family "Eukaryotic large subunit ribosomal RNA", at positions 38 to 664 of the family's 3401-position model. Lineage: Eukaryota; Fungi; Basidiomycota; Agaricomycetes; Russulales; Russulaceae. The record is from RNAcentral.
GCAUAUCAAUAAGCGGAGGAAAAGAAACUAMCAAGGAUUCCCCUAGUAACUGCGAGUGAAGCGGGAAAAGCUCAAAUUUAAAAUCUGGCGGUCUUUGGUCGUCCGAGUUGUAAUUUAGAGAAGCGCUUUCCGCGCCGGACCGUGCACAAGUCUCCUGGAAUGGAGCGUCAUAGAGGGUGAGAAUCCCGUCUUUGGCACGGAACCCCCGGGGCUCUGCGAUGCGCUCUCGAAGAGUCGAGUUGUUUGGGAAUGCAGCUCAAAAUGGGUGGUGAACUCCAUCUAAAGCUAAACAUUGGCGAGAGACCGAUAGCGAACAAGUACCGUGAGGGAAAGAUGAAAAGCACUUUGGAAAGAGAGUGAAACAGUACGUGAAAUUGUUGAAAGGGAAACGCUUGGGGUCAGUCGCGUCGACCGAGACUCAUCCUCGCCUCGGCUUGGUGUACUUCUCGGCUGACGGGCCAGCAUCAAUUUUGUCCCUCGGAUAAUGGCAAGGGAAAGGUGGCACCCUUCGUGGGUGUGUUAUAGUCUCCUGUCGCAUGCGAGGGGUGGGAUUGAGGAACUCAGCACGCGCCUUUCGGCGUCGGGGCUUUGGCCUACGUUCACGUGCUUAGGAUGUUGGCGUAAUGGUUCCAAACGACCCGUCUUGAAACACGG